This 496-nucleotide ribosomal RNA is filed under the name uncultured bacterium. RNAcentral describes it as "partial 16S ribosomal RNA". It matches the Rfam family "Bacterial small subunit ribosomal RNA", at positions 30 to 523 of the family's 1533-position model. The record is from RNAcentral.
AUUGAACGCUGGCGGCAUGCUUUACACAUGCAAGUCGAACGGUAGAGGGGGCAACCCCUUGAGAGUGGCGAACGGAUGAGUAAUGCAUCGGAACGUGCCCAGUCGUGGGGGAUAACGCAGCGAAAGCUGUGCUAAUACCGCAUACGAUCUCUGGAUGAAAGCGGGGGACCGAAAGGCCUCGCGCGAUUGGAGCGGCCGAUGUCAGAUUAGGUAGUUGGUGGGGUAAAGGCUCACCAAGCCAACGAUCUGUAGCUGGUCUGAGAAGACGACCAGCCACACUGGGACUGAGACACGGCCCAGACUCCUACGGGAGGCAGCAGUGGGGAAUUUUGGACAAUGGGCGCAAGCCUGAUCCAGCAAUGCCGCGUGCAGGAAGAAGGCCUUCGGGUUGUAAACUGCUUUUGUACGGAACGAAAAGGUCUGGGUUAAUACCCUGGGCACAUGACGGUACCGUAAGAAUAAGCACCGGCUAACUACGUGCCAGCCGCCGCGGUAA